RNAcentral lists this long non-coding RNA (43618 nucleotides) under Sorghum bicolor (sorghum). RNAcentral describes it as "long non-coding RNA (SBIC_LNC015924)". The stretch from base 4118 to 4224 matches the Rfam family "Plant small nucleolar RNA R71". The record is from RNAcentral. Lineage: Eukaryota; Viridiplantae; Streptophyta; Magnoliopsida; Poales; Poaceae.
GUACACAUGCUUUUUAAAUAAGAUCUCAUCUCUGAGUUAGAGUAAACUGUCAAGACUUAAAACUUACUUACUUUACCUUCACCAUGGGACUUAUAACCGUCACAUCUAUCUUGAGUAGUUAAAAGAUAGAACAGUCUUGUCAAGUGCCAUGUCUCUUAUUCUUGAUCAGCUAUAGCUCUGGUGCUUUUGCAGAUUUUCAAAUAACACUCAGAGAUUCCUUGUAUGAUUCUCUCAGAUCUCUCUUUUGUGGUAUUUCUGGAUCCUUACCAAGGCAGUGAUGGUAUAUGCCUUCUCUCAAGAUAUGUAGUAUUUGUGGUAUAAAGCAUAGUGACAUUACCUUCUCUCUCACCCUACUCUAAUAAGGCUUUAAUAUCUGGAGCUUAUAGGUGGGAGAUAAAAUAUACAUACUUACAAGACAUUUAUUGUAUAGUCAAACCAUGGAUCCAAAGUAACAAGUCAAUAAGUUUAAUCAAGAUGUGCAUGUGUGGCGAAUGAAUGGUGUAUGGUGAUGAUGGUGAUAACAAUGGUGAAAACAAUGGUGAUGGAAGCCUAAUUCUACUUUUGCUCUUUUGAGGGGAUACAUACCUUUCUUGCUUUUUGAAACUUUGUGAGGAGAAUGAGAUGCUCUAUAUAUUUUUUUUCUUUUCUCUCAGGUGGGUAUCUUGUACCCCUAAUUCUACUGUCGGACACUUGUCCAUUUUUACCACUCGUCUCACUUUUUCUUUUCUUUCGAGGUUCCGAGCACUUGCUCCUUUUUAUUUCCUCGUAUCUCUUUUUUUUUCAGAGCACUCAUCUCUUGAAAUAAUAUAGCAAGUGGUAGUAACAAGAUAACUUGAGCAUUUAUUUCACAAAGGAAAAACAGAAAUAUUUUUGGCUAUUCUCUCCCGGAUUAGGAGUAGAAUAUUUUUGGAUGGUUCUGGAGAUGGAAAUGAGUGGAUAUAUGUGGAUGGUACUUCCGGAGUAGAAGUAGCAUAUAUGAGUGAACGUGCAAGUGAAAUCUUGAUUUAACCACAUGAAGCUCCUAAGGGUCUACACAGCUUGACCACACUCAAUGCUCAUAAGCAGUAAAUAGUAAAUGUGUGGCUCAAAGUCUAGCUAGCAUGUAUAUAUGGCUGUGGUAGGAAUUUAAACUCUCAUCAUACAGGAACUCAUCAUGCAAUAUUUUAAAGAUUUUCAAAGAUAAAAUUCUCCAGAAUUCUAGCAUCUCUAGAAACAGAUAAAUAGCAGCUCAACCUUCCCAUAUCGUAUCCGUUAACAACUUAGACUUCAGAUCAAGUUUUCAUCCCACAAGUUUAGGUCUAGAGCAAGCUUUAAAUUAUAACAGUUAUGUCUAAACUUGAGAGAGAACUUAAAAUGUGCAAAUUAGGCAGAGCAACUAUUCAUCAUAUCCAUGCUUGAGUUUUAUUUAGAUACAGAUUAGCAUAGCCACUUUAUUUAUUUAUUAAACACACUAAGCAAAAGAUAUAUAUAUAUAUAUAUAAGCAUAAAAUCCUUAUUUGGUUUUUCAUAGUUAUGUAUAUUUAUAUUCUAAAAUAAUAUAAGUAUAAAGAUAGAUAGAAAUACUUAUCGAGAUAAAUGGGGGUGCUCUCCCCCAAGCUGAAUUUUGACGUAAUUUCCCUUGAUGUAGCUAGCAGGUGGCAGAGGUAUAUUUGAAAGUCAGCAGCAUUUUGACAGCGAUUAGAAUGUCCUCCGUCUGCUAGUCUUCUUGAUUCUUAAAUUCUGUGGAGCUCAAAUAGACAACAAAGCUUGUGGAACUUGAUUAAGUGUUAGCAUAAAUAUCUAGCCUUUAUCAUGUUGAGACUCCUUAAUAAAUAUUACUCUCUGUUUUUAUAUUUUCAUUUUUAUAGAGCAGAAAAGAAAUAUUUAUUUUAUUUUUAUGCCACCACAGUGAAUGUACUUAUGGGUUUUAUGCCACUCGUCUACUCACAUGGGGCUUACUGUUUUUUCACAUUUUUAUUUUCUUUUUAGGAUAACACGAACAUGAUUAACUAAGUAAGCUAGUUGAAAUAAUUGAAAGGGAAAGGAUAACUACCAAGUUUACCUCUUGGCAAGGCGUUCGGUGUUUUUAAGUCCUCCGAACGGGACUCUCCGUUUUCUUCAAUUGUCCUGGGAUUCGUUGGGUGGCGGAGUCAGUACUUCCGGCAGCGCCUCCUCUUCAUGUAUAGUUAUCUUCUCUUUCCAUACCUGACUCGGUGCUACGGUCUCCUGUGGAUAAUUCUGUUUAAACUCUACGUCUUCUGACCUUAUCACUUCUCCUUCAUAGUCUGCCCAUCCGUCCUUGAUGAUUUGCAUCCUCUGGUUGUGGUUGCGUCGUUUCCUUACCUGCUUAGAUUCUUCAACGAUAUAGUUAGGGUCAGUAAAAUAACGGCGUACCUUCUCUGAGGGGAAGUGCAUAUGGACUUCUCCGGUUUCAAUGUAGAUAAUUGCUUUAACGGUGCUGAGGAACGGUCUUCCAAGGAUGAUGGGUGGAUCGUAUUCAUCUUCUCCCAUGUCAAUAACCUGAAUUUCUGUGUAGACAAAGUGAUCGUCUAUUUUGACUGGGACAUCAGUUACUGUUCCUUUAACUUCUCGAAAUGUCUGAUCUGCCAUCUGGAGUUGAAUGUAUGUUGGUCUUAGGGGCAUGGUUCCGAACAAGAGCCGAUAGGUGACUGCGGCCAUUAUGUUGACGCCUGAUCCGGUGUCACAAGUUGCCUUGUAGAAGUUGUAUCCAUUUAUGGAGCAGUAGAUGCUUGGCAUUCCUGAGUCGUCCUUCUUGGUCAAAAACGGUGACUUGAGUUGAUGAUCUUGGCCUCCAUGAAUUGCAGUGACCAUCUUAGCUGACUCGGUCCACACUAGCUUGUUCCUGUUCCUCCUGUUGGUCCUCUUCCUUGAUUCACGUCUGGAUUGAUCUGGGAUUUGUGUAGCCUUGUUCCUGAAGAAAAAUGUUUCCUUCCUCCCUUUGAUGUAGAAACUGAUCUUGGCAGCACUAGCGUAGAUGAUAGCUCCUGUGGUGUUCAAGAAUGGCCUCCCUAGGAUGAUAGGUGCCCUCUCAUCAUUACCGGUCUCUACCACUACGAAGUCGGCUAGAGCAUAUAAGGUACCAACUCGGACACAAAGGUUCUUCACUAUUCCUUUUGGAAAAGUUAUCGUCUGAUCUGCAAACUGCAAACACAUGGUUGUCUCUAAUAAAGGAUAUGUAAAGAAUUUUUCAUAGAGUACCCUGGGUAUAAUGUUGACGCUGGAGCCAAAGUCACAGAGUGCUUCUGGGACGUCCACCAUGCCGAUAGAGAUCGGGAUGACGGGGCGUCUUGGAUCUCCUCUCUUGACCGACAGAAGGUCAGUAGUGAAUUCAGUGACGGGGUUACUCCAAUUACCUGCAUCAAACAUGUCUACAAGAUUUGCAGAUUCUAAUCCUUCCGGUUGUGAUGGUAUACCGGGGUUAGUAACAGGAACAGCAUCAGCUAUUUGAUUUAACUGAGAUUCAAUUAUUUUAUUAAAUCUAAUUUGAUUCUUGAUGGUAGUAGAGAAAUUAUCCAUUCUAUUAUUUAUAUUUUCUAGCAUUUUAUCAUUAGAUGCCAAUUUUUUAGAUAGGUUAUCCAUUAGCUUUCCUUGAUUAGACACUAACUCUCUCAGAGGUGGAAAAUUAUUAUUAUUGUUGUAAGAAUUGUUACCUUGAUAAUUACCUGAGUAGUUAGGCCUCUGUUGAUUCCAACCUUGAUUUUGUUGAGGACGGUUGUAGUAGUAGUAGUAGUUGUUGAUGUAGUUCACAUCCUCAAGUAUCUCAGGGCAGUGAUUGCCUGAGUGUCCAGUGUCUCCACACUCCUCACAAGUCAUGUGAGAAUCGUAGAUGUGCAUCACUUCCUUCUUAUCUCCAGCUCUAUCGUCGAGCUUCUUCAUGAGCAGGUCUAGCUUUGCAGACAGCAUGUCUACCUCCUUGAGCUGAUGCAUACCUCCACCUCUCUUGCGUGUCUGGGUCCUCUCUUCAUUCCAGCUUUGAUUGGACGCCAUCUUCUCCACAAGAGCUGUGGCUUGUGGUAUAGUAAGUAAUAAGAAUGCUCCUCUAGCUGCAGCAUCCAUGGUUUCUUGGGCACUGUUGCCGAGCCCAUGAUAAAAUGUCUGCAUCAGUAGCCAACUCUCCAUUCCAUGAUGGGGACAUUCUAGGAUGUAAUCUUGAAAGCGCUCCCAUGCUUCUGGAACAGAUUCAUCAUUUUGUUGCUGAAAACUUGUAAUCUUCCCACGAAGAGCAUUGGACUUGCAGAUGGGAAAGAACUUAGCCACGAAGUUUGUUGAGCAGAGUGCCCACGUAGUAUUCUUCUCCUUUGUAGCGUAGAACCACUGCUUCGCUCUUCCUAACAGUGAGAAUGGGAAGAGGCGAAGUAGUAUAGCAUCUUUGGAAACUCCUGAUAUGGUGAAUGUGUUGCAAAUCUCCAGGAAGUGUUGUAGAUGAGCACUAGCAUCUUCGUGUGCCUUCCCACAGAACUGGUUGGAUUGCACCAUGUUGAUAAGGCCAGGCUUGAGCUCAAAGUUGCCAUCGAUCUCUGCAGCAGGUCCAGUGCGGAUGUUGUCCGUAGUGGGAGCUGAGAACUCGCGGAUUGAUUUGUUCGCCAUGGCCUCGAACUCUGAAGACAAGUUCCGGUGAUCUUCUUGAUUGGAUGAAGCUUCUUGCUGAAGUGUUGAUGAUCUCUUCUUGAGCUUGGCUCUCGUCUUCUUGAAUAAUGCUUCGGGAUUGUCAACAAAAUUUCCUGGAAGAUGUCUUCUAUUCAUACAUUCCCCUGCAUAAGAUAAAAUAGAAAAAUAUCGGGGUAAAACUGUAUGAGAGAAUAGAUAAGCUCAAUCAUAUUAGUGAUGCGAAUGAUAACUCAAAAUCUUUUAUUCCAUUCUUGAUUAGUAAUCAACCUUCCCCGGCAACGGUGCCAAAAAUGCUUGUUGGGUAUUCUUAACAUCAUUACCAAAAGUAGACUAAGUUCUCUAAAUCUAGUAACGGUGCCAAAAAUGCCAAACCUAUCCCUCACACCACUUAAGCCAAAUUGUCAUCCCCAGCAUGACAUGAGAGACGCGGUAUUGAAAUAUGCAAUUGCUCUUCUAAAUAAAUAAUGAAUGGGAUCUGCAAGCGCACAGAUUAAUACUGAUGUAGCAUUUUAACCGAGAAGUAUUCCAGGUAUCGUUAUUUAUAUUUUUACCACUGGGAAGGGAUUAGCAAUCAUCAAUAGUGAUUACAGAAUAGAAUAUGAGAUUGAGCAUCUAUCAUUGCAUGUAUAAUUGAGAACAUUUAUCUAACUCUUCAUACAAGGAUAAGUGUCACAUAAAAGAUAUAUGAAUUAAUGAAUAGUGACAAAGGUAAUUAAUCUGAUUAGCCACAUAUAAAUAUGAUAAGCACCUCAAUUAGAUACUCUAGAAAGUCAUUAGCAUGGUAUUAGAACGAACUACAAGAAUAUUCCCUAAGUUAUUCUUAACUAUAUAGUCUAGCAUAUCAUAGUUAGUGCAAGCAUACUUAGCAAUCAUUGCGAGACAAGACUACGCCCAUGCAUAGUGAUAUUAGCAAGGAAUAUGAGAAACAUAGCAAUCACUCCCCUGUAAUAAUGUUGCUCUGCUAGCCCAAUACACGAGAGGAGGACUAUAUAAGAAUCAAUGAAGCUGUCACUAUCACGAACUACCCCACGAUCUGGCAUAUUGGGUACAAUCGCAGAUAAAUACGGUAUAAGCACCACGCCUACACAAUAUCUAUCAUUUACCCAUGGAUCCGAUGGAUAAACGCUAUACGAUCCUAAGCAUGUAUAUAAAUCCAAUCUAACUAAGCCAAGUACAUAACUUUGAUAAACUAAGAACAAUAUAAUCUUGAAUAUAAGCAAGUAGAGCAAAGUCAUAAGCAAUAUAUUGAAGUAGAACAAAGUCAUAUUCAUAAUAUUGAAGAACAAAGAUAAUUAGAAAGUAAUUAGAAGCACAAUUAGAGAAUUACCAAGAAUCCUCUUGAUAGAUCCGGAAACCAAUCGAAGAUUGACUCCUUCUAGUUCUAAUCCUAUGUAGCUAUGCUAAUCUAGAUAUCUAAUUGAUGUGGUGGCUCUAAUCUUGAUCAGAGGCUUCUUCUCUCUUGAGAAUAAUGAAUUAGUGUUGAGAGGCUCUCUCCUCCAGGGGCCAGGGGGUCUGGUUUUAUAGUCCGUUCAAGUGAAUAUGGGCCGUUGGAUCAAACCGACAUAGAUUGUAUGGUUUAGAUUCAUCCUUUAGGUCGGUGGAGACACUACAAGAAAUCUGUUAAUCCGUGACGGAUUCUCAGUGAUAGAUUAUGAGACCGUCAUUGAUAGGCAUAAUCUGUGACGGUAUUCUUAUUUCGAUGUGCAUGAAUGGAUAUUCUCGGCCCGCUAACUUGUGACGGUUUUAUCUUAGACCGUCAUGGUGUAUAAUUUUAAAUUUGUCAUUCUAGUGAGCCCAAAGCAAUAGGCCCUUUAUCAUUUAUAUAUUUUUUUGCGAAAGAACCCUUUAUCAUUUAUAUAGUACAAAGAAAAAUAAAAAAUAUGAUUGCAAAAAGAAUUUAUAUAGUGCAUAUAUAAUAUUGUGCAAAAGAGAGCCUUUUUCAAAUUAUUUGAACUAAAUAAUUUUGUUACUUUUUUGUGUGCAUAUGGUUAAAUUAAAAAUAUUGUGCAUAUAUAGUGCGGAUGGAGAAAAAUUCUAUAAAACUGGAAAAAAAAUUAUAGCAUUCUGGAAUUGAAUCCGUCGCUGUGCAGAAAAGCCCAUAUGGUUCGGCAUCCCAUCGCUGUGCAGAAAAAAAAAGGUUUGCAGGAAAAAAAAUAGUGCACCCAAUGGGUUUCGAACCCAGCACCUUGCAAGUCUUUAGACCCAACCUUACCAAUAGACUAGUUGUUCAAUUGUGCACAAACUUGAUUCUUUCUUCCCUUUGUUCUGUAUAUGUACGAGUAAGUUUCCUUCAACCAGCACCCGACACCCAGUCGAGAGUUCAUUCACGGACUCAAGUUCGACACUGACGCCGACGGCGAGAUUAGGAGGGAGCCGCGUUGCCGCUGCCCACCAUUGCUGCGCCGUCCAGCAAUGUCACCUCCUCGCUUGCCGCAUCAUCCCGCAUCACCGCUGCACACCAUUCAGGCAGCGACAUCACACAUCACCGCCGUCGUCCAAAGCCAUCCGUAGCUCUGCAGCCGGCGCCCUCCAUUGCCACACCGACGAGAGAUGCCGAGUGCGGCCAUGCGUCACCUGGUGAUAGAUCCAACUGUUGAGCGGACUCCUACAACCUCGAGCACGCCUGAAAUCGUCAAUCGCUGAGCACCUACCUCCUGCUUGAGGAGAUCCCGAUCUGUCUGACCUAACACCUACCAACAGCCAAGGUGUAUCUCUUCUAUUUUUUUGUUGAUUUUGUUGGAUAUAGCAUUUGAAUUGGCAUGAACGCGCGGCCUCUGAUUUGGCUUCUCCCGCGUAGCCUUUGUUUUCACUGAAAAAGACCCGCCGCUUUUCCCUCCACGGGCGACAACAAAUUUUUCGGAGUGCGAAUUGACUCUACUAUCCAUAUUCUGCACUUCUAUCAGGCUAACAUAUCAGGGGUAGUAUGGUAUUUGUUGUGCCAUCCUUCCAUCCAAAUAUAAGGUCAGCAGCAACCCUAAAUCCCCAAUUUCCAUCUCAGCCGCCACCAGCCACCACUCCACAGUCCACAGCCACCCAUCUGCUACGACCGCCUGGGCUCCUGCAUCUCAGACCGCAGCACAUCAGCGGUGCGCUGCAUCAAGCUCCUGCGCUCCUGCGCUCCUGCCUCGAGGGCCGUUGACGUCGCCCACCGCCACGGGUCCUGCCUCCAGCCGUCGACGUUGCCGCCCGCCUGGUUGCCCGCCGCCGGGUCCAUCACCCGCCGCCAGGGCUCCUUCCUCCAAGAGCGUUGCCGCCAGGUUCGUCACCCGCCUGCAAGAGCGCUGCCACCACCUUCGUUGCCUCCAAGAACGGCACCACCAUCAUCGCUGCCUCAAAGAACAUUUACUGAUGUCGACGAAGUGUGGUUCAAAGAAAGCACAAGGGCGUCGUCGGAUACCUGGUAUAGUGUUGCUUACUUCAUCUCAUUAUUGAAUAUUUACUGUCUCUGUCUGUGUUCAUGUUUGUGGUUGAUUGGUGUGGGGAUCCAAUAUACAAGGUGUUUUGUCAGACUGGCUUAAGCAAUCUAACUCUAUACAAAUAGCAUCCAGACUGUGCAGAUGGUCAUGAUAAAAAAAUACAUUCUGAGAUUGCUUUUAAUCGGGUUGUUAAUUGUUGUUGUGUUUAGUGACGGAUUUGACCAACCGAGGAGACCAAGCCUUCACUGAAGUACUAAUUAGUAUUUACACUAGUUAUUUAUGAUUGUAGUGAUGUAGUUUUGGGAGUGCUAUUUUGGGUUCUGUGAUUUUGUUGUUCCAUAACUUAGUACUGCUACAUGAACCUUCACCGAAAAACUAAGUAUCCAAACUAAUUAUUUAAUGAUUGCAGUGAGGUAUUUUACGAGAGCUAUUUUGGGUUCUGUGAUUUUACCUAGCCACCAACUUAGUGCGAUUACACUAACCUUCAAUGAAGUACUAAUUAGUAUUCACACUAAUGAUUUAACUGAUUGUAGUGAGCUAUUUUUAGGAGUGCUAUUUUGGUCAUGAACUAUCUAAUAUUAUUAAUAUGCUGGUCUUGUUUUUUGUCAUCUUAGAACCGGCGCUGCAUCCAUAUCAAUUGGUGCGCUUGAGAGAAUGCAUGAAGAACCAUGCAAGGUUGAAGGAACUUGGACUUCCUGAUCAUUACUACAACCGAGUUUUGGCAGAAGAUGUUGCUGGUCAUUCUGACAAAAAUCGAAGUGAAGCCAUUCAUUCUGACAAGUAUGAUCAUGGAGACUCCGAGUCUGAGUAUGAUCCUUUACAGGAUGAUAUUGGUGAAGGAGGUUUGAUUGAUGAUGACAAUGCUAAGGUGCAAAUUCCUCCAUCUGGUCAAGUCUUGUUGUUUUUCUUCCUAAUUCAAUAUAACUCUCUAAUACUAUGCUGACUAAUCCAUGCUUUAAUUUCUAGCAGUGCUCUAAGGAGAAGACUUGCAAGUUCGAUCAAGUUAAUUCAUGCAUGAUGCUACAUAUCUUUUGCUACUACAUGUAUUUUGCUGCUGCUAACUUGUGUCAAGUCAAUUUUGACCAACUUAAGCUAUAAAUGCAUGCAUUCUACUGCUGCUUGCAUUUUGUUGUUGCUGCUAUAUGUAUGUAUUUUUCUGCUGCAGCAUGCAUUAAGCUGCUGGACUUGUAUGCAUUGCUUGGAAUCUCUACUUAUUGUUGACUUGUGCCAUCUUAAACUACAAGGUGUAUGCACUUUGUAUGUUAACUGAUGUAAUAUGAUGGAUGAAAAUUCAUGUGAUAUAUAUGAUAUUAGAUUGAAAAAAUGAAAUUUUUAUUUGAUGUGCUGCUGAAAUUAGUAGUUAUAUGGGCUGUAUAUAUGGACUGUAUGUACGAAAUUGGACCCUGUAUAUGGGUUGAAUGUGAUGUAGAGUGGGCUGAAAAGGGCAAUAAAAAUUGGUGGCGAAUUUGGGCUGCAUAGUUGCUAAAAAUGGGUUAUAGAGUUGCUGAAAAUGGGCCGCCAAAAAUGGCUGAAGAGGAGCUAUGAAAAUGCUUAAAUUGGGCUAAAAUGUGGCCCAUCUUUGAUUUUGGCCUAUUGAAAAAUGGGCUGAAUCAGUGUCCAUGUCAUCAUCCAUGUAAGCAACCAUGAUGAUGUGGCAAUCAAUCCGUGACAGUUAUUUUUGGUCACAGAAAAUGGACUUGGGCUGGGCUAACUAGGCCUCGGGCUAUAUUGUGACGGUUUAAAACCGUCACUGAUUGCGUUAAUCUGUGAUGGAUUUCGAUAAACCAUCACGAGAGUCAAUCCAUGACGCUCAAUCUAUGACGUUCUCUGAAACCAUCACAAAUACUGGAUAGUGACGGUUUUUUGGUAAUCCGUGACGGAUUUUUUUGUCAUGGAUUAACAGGUUCCUUGUAGUGAGAUCUCCCACGAAGCAGAGUCCUGAUUGGACUCAGGGAGGGGGCGGGCGCCCAGGGGAACAAGGCGGGCGCCCUGCCUCUGGCCCCGUUUCGCCUCCGCUUCGGUCUCGUGGCUUCUGGAGUCUUCUAGAUGUAAGAUAAUUGCGCGGCACGUUAAUAUCUCUAUGUAAUCCCAAUGUGUGGGCCUUUCUUCCGUAUUUCCUGAUAACCCCCUGCAGAAAUAGACAAACACCAAAACUCGUGGAAUUCUGUCAGAUAAAACCCUAAGUCUAGAUGUUGAUUUCAUUUGGAUCCUUUUGUUUAUUUAUUUGAUAAUUAAAUUUGAUACUUAAGGACCAUCAACACUGGCUCAAUUCUAGGAUCCUAAGGCAACACAUUCAAGUCCAUCUCGACCCUUAGAUCACACUUGUGUUUCUGUUCAAGGGGUGAAAGAUGGAGGUACAUGGAUCCAUGGACCCACCAGAAGAACCAGACCGAAGAUGAACACAAGACACACUCCAUGAUAGAUGGAGACAGCAAUGGAGCAAGGCUGGUGGGCCCACCUCACCAAAUCUCGGUCGGCCGACCGGCCUUUGGUGGGUCCCACCUGCCAGCUCCACUCCUCCGACCUCCAGGACCUUAUAGAAGGCUCAGGGUGGCCCCACCUCACAAAAUAAUAGGUCGACCGACCUAUGAUGUGGGCCCACCUAAGGUCGGUUACACCACCGACUUUGGCAAUUGUUGGCAUUUCUUAGCGUCACUACUAAAAAUAGACCAUAGAUCCGUCCUUAGCAAUGACACCAGAAAUGUCGGGUGUUGGCAUACCGUAACUAUCGCUACAUCAGAGAGAUAACCCAAGGCAACUCGAGGGCGCCGACCUUAGCAGUGCAGUCUGGUAACAAUGAUUAGGAAUGCCGGAUUGGCUUUCCUAACCAUCCUUACUUGCGAUAUGCAAAGCUAUGGCACUACGCUUGAAAGUGCACAAACAUUACAAUCUUAAGUAACGGUACUUAGGUACGCCAAUCGAUAGUUCAUGAAUGAAGAAGUAAUAUAACUGCAAGCGGACAGAACUAUCAUUGUAGCAUUUAAACCCGUGAGUAUUGAAGGGUGUCGAAUUUAUAAUUCCCGUAGGAAGGCAAAAGGAUCAAACAUGGUGUAAACAUGAUUACUUAUUGAAUGCUUGGUAGACAUAGAGUAAACAGGAAUACACAUGAUAUUCAAGAUAGUGGACAUACAUUGGGUCAACCUCAAGGAUAAAAUAGAAGAGAAAUAAUAAAUAAAGAAUAAAGAAAUAAAUCUACUUGAGCAGGCAUGGGUCACAUAUAACUAUGCAUAGAACUGUUAGCAGAUCAUCUAAUUAGCAAUAAAUAGAGUUAGAACUAAGCCUGAGAUGAGGGGAGAUCCUUGCAGCUGGAUACCCAGCCGAUAGAGACUUUACAGAACUCCUAUCAGAAUACCUCAUCGUGGGGGAAUGCAAAGGAUGACAGAGAUGUCACUACCCCGCCACCUACCCCUCUACCCGAAAGAUACCCGCACAUCCAUUGAUUCCCACAUACCUGAACAUUCACGUAAUUGGAAACAACUCCUAACCCCCACGGGCCCCACCCCUUCGGAGUGACAGGCUAGUCUAAGAGCAACCAUCACAACACAGUGAACCAUCAUCCCAUUCCUAAUUCUGAUCCUAAUCAUACUAAUCUGAUGAACAAUGAAGAACAAUGAUGAACAUAUCAAGAACAUAGUAGAAGAACUAAGAACUAGGUCAUAUACUAUGAACAUGAUAAGAACACAAUCAUACUCUAGUUCAUAUGCAUAAUCAUAUAAAGAUAAAUAGAACUCGCUCAUGGAAUAAGAUUGAAUAUUAUUUAUACCAAGAAGAUCCUUUCUUCCAAGGAGACAAGCUCUCCUUGCUAGCUCUUGCCUUGCUCUACUACUAAUCUGGACUAAAGGUACAAGUGAGAGGUGUGAGGUAAAUUGACUCCAAAUGAUGUGUGUGUUGAAAAGGGGGGAGUGCCUCUAUUUUUAUAGUGGAACUAGGACGGUUCGUCGCAUCUAAAUUUGGUAGUAGGUGAAACCGUCCUAUGCAUGGCGGCAUGCAACUACCUGAGAAAGAUAGGCCUGGUUUGACGCCUCCAGGGGUGUGCCCGCACCAGGGUGCGGCCACAACCUGGGUGGGUUCCCCUGUCCACCGCCUUCGUGUGGUCGGUUUGGCUCUGGGCCUGGAUCUCUCCCGUGGUUACGAUCAGGCCCAGUUUUGUGUUGUUCGGGUCUUUCUCUAUUUUCUUGGUUUGCACGUUUCUGAAUACGUCUUUUGGUACUUUGCGCUUUCUUCGUGGUAUGGCACAUUUUCACUUGUUGCACUAUAAUUCCUGCAAAAUAUAAUCACUAUGGUACAAGUGGAACUUGUUAGUAAUAAAAUGCAUGUGUGUAUAUAAUAUGAUUACUUCUUCUCCUUUUGGAUCAAGUUGGCAGUUUAUAAUUGGUCUAUAAUGACUGCCAACAACAAUACAUGUAGGUGAUCUUGGACAUCCAUCUAAGGUGGUUCUAAUGACGGUUUAUCCAAGGGUGGAAAAGCGGGAAGCACAGGGAUCACUGACGUGGCACCCCCUCUACUCCCCCUAUAAAUAGAGGCAGCAUCCACCCUCUCAAAAGAGAAGGUGUGUCACUAUUAGUCUAGUGUGGGAGUUAGAGUUGAGUCGAGCGAAGCUCAGAGUCUCUGGAGUUGUCUUCUGGAGAGUCUGAUAUUCCACUUUACCUUUUCUCUUAUAAUACUUUGAGUAUUUAAUAUAUUUACUUUUCCUUUACUUUUGUAAGUAUUUACUUUCAGUAUUUACUUGGUGCAAUAUUCUAUUGUAGUGUCCUAGUCUGUCUUAUAGUAGUUAUUGUUGACGGUCCUUAAGUACUAAAAUUAACCAUCAAUUAAACAUGAAAAAGGAUCAAUAUGCACCAAACAUCUAGAAUUAGGGUUUUAUCUUACAGAAUUCCACGAGCUUUUGUGUUUAUCUAUUUCUGCAGGGAGUUAUCAGAAAAUAUGGAGAGAAGGCCCACAUGUCAUGUUUACAACGAGAUAAUUACGUGCCGUGCAAUUUUCCUCAAUCUAGAAGAGUCCAGAAGCCACGGGAAGGAAUGGGAAGGCGAUCGGGCUCGGGGGCAGGGCGCCCGCCCUCCCCCCUUGGGCGCCCGCCCAGGUCUCGGGUCCAAUCCGAACCAAACUCUUGGAUCGUGUUCCACCGACCUAAAGGAUCAAGGAAAACCAUGCGAUCAAUGUCGGUUUGAUCCGACGGCCCAAAUUCACUUGAAAGGACUAUAUAACUGUGGGGGUAUAAACCCCUAUACCCUUACGGCUAGACUUCAGCCAGGAAGCUUGGCCCACUACGAGACGAGUUCAAGGCUUGAUCCGACAGCCCGAGUUUCGCGCAAGGAAACAAGACGUGGAGAUCAAGCAGGAUUCUAGUCGGUUAGAAUAGGAAUUGAUAUCGAAUUAUCUACGGCAGUUGUAACCGACUAGGAUUAGUUUCUAGCUCUGUAGCCCUGCCCUCCGGACUAUAUAAGGAGGGGCAAGGGACCCCCCUAACACAUCAUAUUCUCUCAGCACAAAUCAAUACAACCAGACGCAGGACGUAGGUAUUACGCCAACUCGGCGGCCGAACCUGGAUAAAAAGCUUGUCCGUGUCUUGCGUCACCAUUGAGUUCGUAGUUUGCGCACCGUCUACCGAUAAACUACUACCGUGGGUAUACCCCAAGGUAGACUGCCGACUAGCUUUCGUCGACAGUGGCGCGCCAGGUAGGGGGUGUGCGUGCAACUUUUCCGGCGAACAAGAUGGUCACGAUCCCAGCUUCCGCGACCGUGCCCGAAGGCCUCACGUUCACCGUCGGCCAGAUCACGUGGACGACGUGCAGCGGCGGUUUCGCGACCACGGUUCCGAAAGAGAUCCAGAUCCAAUCUGAGAUCACGCCGUCUCCGACCACACGCAUGACGGCACCAAGCUCCCGACCACCGUUCCCGCUCUACAAGGGAAAGGAGAUCGACUGCUCGGACCUCCUCCAAGCGCUCGAUCGCGCUGACUCCAAGCUACUCGAAGUCUCCCAACUAAUAGAUGGAGUUCUACGCCGGCCCGACCAAGCUGCUCGAGCGGAUUUUUCGAAAUUCCGCCGGCCAACUCGUGUCGCCACACACGAACGGCUGGGAACGUCCCUGACGAUAACCUCAACCCCCUCAGGACGAUCCGUCGAGCUCAAAAAGGAAGACUAUCCUUGCGGCCUGAACAACUCGGCCUCUGUUUACUCACAGCAUGUCCAAUCCGUUUUCAGCAAAGCGGGCUGGUCGCCGACAAGGAACAAUCGUCACCAUGUCAACAUGGUGACCAUCCGAGAGCUACGGGACGGCCAGGUUUCCAGCACCAACUCAAGCACCGGCUCCGUCCCCACCGAGGUUGUGAACACCGAAGACGAGGACUACGACCUGGAUUUUCCUCCACACCCUCCGGGUUUCGACCGAUUCCCGAUAUUCCCCCCCCGGCGAGGGGAUAUUGUAUUCAAUGUCAGCGCCGACGAACCGGCUGUUGACGGAGAAACAGACGACCAGAGGCAACUCCGCGAACAGCGUAACGCCGAUCGCGCCCGACGGCGUGCGGACGAGCAACAACAGACGCCACCAGGUAACCUCAACGAUGCCUUUGACAUGGUCGGGGACCAGCCGGUCUACAAAACGCCAAGCGCCAACGUGGCUGUCGCCAUGGCCAACCUGGAUCGGCUUCCUGACACCCCCGAAUGCCAGGGAGUCCGGACCAGUAUCCGAGCACACCUGAUCGCCGCGAUGGGACAGACAGCCACUCUGCUCAAGAGAGUCCAGGACGUCUCUUAUACGGAAGCCGCCUCCGACCAAACUCAUCGUAGCCGGGCCUCACCCAGCAGGCGUCGCCGCAGCCGCUCUCCCGACAACCGUCGAGGGGACUCACGGCGCGACGAUGGUGGUCGGGACGCCGAUGGCCGCCGCCAGCAGAACCGUGUACGCGGCCAAGAAGAAGAAGAUCAACACAGGGAUCUCCGCCACAACAUCCCUCCCAAAGAUGCCCGGGACAGCAUCAACAGGCGCGCCGCAGAGAGAGCAGUCCACGAAAACCUGCGCCGCAUCGAGUACGAUGCGACCCAUGGUCCUCCGGGCCUAAGGCAGUUCUCCUCACACCUCCGCCAGGUCGUGUGGCCCCGCAAUUUCAAGCUCGAAAAACUUAAAAAAUACGACGGCAAGGAAAAUCCAGAGAACUGGAUCACCCUCUACGAAAUCGCCGUCCGAUCAGCGGCAGGAGAUGAGCACGUCAUGGCUAACUACUUCCCCGUAGUCCUCGACCAGGCUGGUCAUCAGUGGCUUCUCGGCUUGCCCGAGGACUCCUUCGACUCUUGGGAAGAGCUACGACAGGCUUUCAUCGACAACUUCAUCGCCACAUGCGAGCAGCCCGGAAACAAGUAUGACCUUGAAAGGAUAAGAGACAGGAAGAAUGAACCUCUGCGCGAUUACAUCCGACGAUUCUCGGAUAUGCGCCUCAAAAUCCCGAAGAUUUCUCAUGACGAGGCCAUAUCAGCCUUUAUCAAGGGCUUGCGUUUCCAUGAAGCGCUGAGGAACAAGCUGUUGCGUAAGCGCCCAUCAACGGUAGCAGAGCUCCUAGCCACGGCUAAAAAUUAUGCCGAUGCUGAUGACGCAGAAAAACUAAUCCGAGACGAUGCGAGAGGCACCGACCAGCCCUCCCGGCGAGAUGACGGUCGUGGUCGCUACGACAACAGAAAUCACCGCCGCUCCGACAACCGCGAUCACCGAGAGGGUUGGGAUCGGCGGCGCGACAGCCGCGACGACUUCAGAGGAAAGCGCCCUCGCGAAUACGACCACGAAGUAAACACGGUCAAACGUCCCAAUGGACGACGGGACUACCAAGACGACUACAACAAAACGUUGAAGGGACCGUGCCAGCUACACCCAAAGUCUAACCAUACCAUGGAAGAGUGCCGCGUCCUCAAAAGUAUCUAUACACGGCGGGCCGCCCAAGAAGACACCGCCAAGAAAAGUAACAAACGCGACGGGCACGACCACGAAGAUGAGGAUGAGGACCAAGACAGGGACCCCCGACACCAAUACGUCAGCCCCACCGACGUGGUCCACUCCAUUUUCGGGGGCAAGGUCUCCACUGAGUCCAAGCGAGAAAGAAAGCUGUUAAAGAGAGCCUGCCUCAACAUAGACAGCACGGACGGGCUGAUCGCAGAUCCGAAAUUUCCCGCCUGGUCCCACAGGGAGAUCGCGUUCAGCAGGAAGGACCAGUGGGCCGCUAUCCCAGAGCCGGGUCGUUUCCCACUAAUUCUUGAUCCCUGCAUCAAUAGCAUUAGAUUCGAGCGCGUGCUCGUGGACGGGGGAAGCUCCAUCGACAUCCUCUUCCGCAACAGCCUGCCCGCCCUCAAGAUAUCACCGGCGCAACUAAAACCUUACGACGCCCAAUUCUGGGGGGUUUUGCCGGGUCAAAGUUCGGUGCCCCUCGGACAGAUAACAUUGCCUGUCCAAUUCGGCACACCCGAUCACUUCCGGACGGAGUUCAUCAACUUCGUAGUCGCGGACUUCGACGGGACCUACCACGCCAUACUGGGCCGCCCAUCGCUGACAAAGUUCAUCGACAAGGCAUAUAACGAUCAAGCAAGACAAGGCAAAAGAAUGCGCAGCAGUACAAAAAGCCGCUUACCUUGACUUCGUCGACAAGGCGCUUGGCCGCGCGCUCCACCCUGGCGGCCUCUUCGGUCUCGGCGACCUCCUCAUGACCGAUAAAGUGAUCCCCGCGUUGGCGCCACACAUACACGUGUUGGCGGCCAUCACGGGGACGACCCUCGAUCUCCUCCACCUCGUCGUCGGAGGCCGCCCGGGUUUCCUCCUCCUGUGCUGCGUCACCCCCGGUGGCGGUCCCAGGCAUUACUGGCCCUUGGACCAGACCUGGGGAGCCCACAGCCGAAGAGGCUCCUGCUCGGGGCGGCGGGGGGACUUCACUCCCCCCGGCAGGAGGAGCGGUCGGAGAUCUUCCCUUCUCCGAGGAGUCAGUUGGGGGAGCCUCUCCAGCCCUGGUCGGGCUGCUUGUUGUAGUCGGCGCCGCGCUCGGGAGCCCCUCGGUGCUCCCAGGCGCGACUGCAGCUGUUGGCUGCUCUGUGGUCUGGGGGGCCGCAUCCCCAGAACCGCGGGCAGGCUCGCCCGUUCCCUGGCCGGCAGUUUGACCAGGGUCGACAUCCGAUGCCGCACUACAGGAACAAAAGUAAAAAAAAAAGAGGAGUCCAAAAUACGUAAGUCGAACACUUACAGGUCUGACCGACGGUGGGUCGCGGUGAACCUCCUCCUCACCCGUCCGGUCGGCACCUGUGCCCCCGUCUCGACACCUUGCGGGGCAGCGGCGCCGCUGGCCACUCGAUCAGUGGCGACCGGCGCAGUGUCUGGGCGGCUCCGAGGCCGUCGGACCAACGACGGCGCAGCCUCCUCGUCGUCGUCGUCGUCGACGAUCCGCACGAGCCGACGACGCUUCGGCGCUUGGCUGCUCUCCGCCGGUAGAUCUGCCGGCAGCUCCGGUGUCGGCAAGGGAUCUGCCGGCAAUGGCCUUUUCCCCGCUACCCUCUCCUCGGAGGUCGGGACGGGGCGGGCUCGGUCUUCCUCACCGCUGGUGUAAUGAGUACACCGAGCAGCGUCCUCCCCUGGCGGGACCUCUCCCACAGGAUCUUCCAUCCCCGGUGCCAGUGAUACAUACACUGCGCACCGGUCGACAUCACCGACCUGCAAAAGCAACAGAGAUGAGUUAACUGCAGACGAUAUACGAAUGAUCAAACAGACUCUGCUACAUACCUUUGGUGCUGGUCGUCCUAACUUGAAGGCUUGCACCCGAUCACUACCACGGAUGAAGCCCCCAUCCGCGAAGUUAAACAGCUCGUUCAACAGCUGUUGUACCUCCGCUUUCUCCAAGAUCUCCGACCGCAUCCUGGUCGGGUCUGCGCUUCCGGCAUACUCGUACGCCGAGUGCACCCUCUUCUGGCAGGGCAUCACCCGGCGGCAAAUGAAGUUGCCGACCACGCCAAGCCCGUCUAGGCGCGACCAGUCGAUCAGCUUCAUGAGAUCCGCCACUGGACCAUCGAACUCCGGACGGUCGGUCCAGCUCGCCCUCUUCUCGGGAACGUAUCCCACGUCGCAGAACGUGGAGCUGCCCGGUUCCUCCCUUAUGUAGAACCACUUCCUGUACCAUUCGGUCAAGGAAGUGUUCCAUGGGCAGUGCAGGUAGCGAUUCUUCAUCCCAUCACGAAGGUUGAGGUAUACUCCACCUGCAACCUUGGAGCCUCCAACUGCUCCCUUCUUCCUCAGACAGAAAAGAUACCGGAAAAGAUCGAAGUGCGGCUCUAUGCCAACAUAGGCCUCGCACAGGUGGAUGAAGGUGGAAAUAAGGAGAAUUGAGUUCGGGUGCAGAUUGCAAAUCCCGAUCUCAUAGUACAAAAGAAGACCUUGAAGAAAAGGAUGGACAGGAACACCAAAACCUCUCUUAACGAAAUCUUCAAAAACAACGAUCUCACCGGCGCGAGGGUCGGGGUAGCUCUCCCCCUCCGGUGCCCUCCAGCCGCCGAGCUCUGCGCCGUGCAGAAGCCCCAUAUCGACGAGGUCACCAAGAGAUUUUGUGGUGCUGCGAGACUUCUUCCACUCCUUGGCCAUCAGUUCGGCCCUCUUCCUGGAGUCGCUCUUCGCCAUUAGAGGUGCGAAUGUGGGCUGGAGUUAGGAAGAUGCAGGAGUUUGGAGAAGAUGAGAGCGGAAUGUUUGAAGGCAAUGGUAGGAGAAGCGGUACAGGCGGUCCUAUUAGGCCCUUAUAAACCCGCGACCCCACCUCUCCCACUUCCUGUAUUCUCGGGAAGUGGGCAGGCCAUGCGGCGGACGCGGCGUUUCGGUUUACAAUGAUUAUAGACAAUUAAUGCGGCGGAGUUUUCGUACCAAUUGAUGGUUUCCUUUUCUCAAACCAUGCAAAGAGCGGUUGUACAGUUGCCAGGUGCAGCUUUUCAUGCAUCCGUCUGACAUAUCGUCAGGAGACCCCGUCACGUCAACUUUAAUUGGAAAGAUCUUUUCAAAAGUAAGAAGACACAUACGCCAGUGAGUCAGCAAUCCGGGGACUACACCGACCACCGAGCACUCGACGCUCGGGGACUGGUUGCCCAGUCUAUCAGCUCAGAACUUCAAGGACUGCACCGACCACCGAGCACUCGACGCUCGGGGACUGGUCGCCCAGUCUAUCAGCUCGGAACUUCAAGGACUGCACCGACCACCGAGCACUCGACGCUCGGGGACUGGUUGCCCAGUCUAUCAACUCAGAACUUCAAGGACUGCACCGACCACCGAGCACUCGACGCUCGGGGACUGGUCGCUCAGUCUAUCAGCUCAAAACUUUAAAGCAUGCACCGACCACUGAGCACUCGAUGCUCGGGGACUGGUCGUACAGUAUAGCAACAUAUAAUUCCAAGAAGCACACUAAGUGCCUGGGGACUGGUCGAUUGGUCUUUUCGAUUGCAGACGAGCAUGACAUGCUCGGGGACUGGUAAAUUCAAUUUUUUAGACCUUGCUACAAGGCUCAUACUUCGCCUUCCAGCAAGCUCGGGGACUACAUCGGUACGAUGCAUCUAGCGAUGCAUCUCAGUCUCAAAACUACUUUGGGGAAUUUUCUUUUGACCCUGGCACCACGUGCCUACGCCACCUACUACCAGGCUCGGGGACUAAGUGGGCACACUUCACCUAGCGGUGAAUUUGCUUGCUUUUUUGAUGCUUCUACCUUUCAAAAAGGCAAAGUGGGCACACUUCACCAGGAAAGAAAAUUUUUUUUAGAGCACCAUGCAUUCUUCGAACAACCUGCUUCUUCGAUGUCAACGUUGAUCAACUGUCUUUCGAGUUGGUCAAGGAACCGUUGCAACUGUGUGGGCGAUUUCCCCGCUUAUUGAAGACGACAAGCCUCGCUGAUCGAAGAAGCUCAAGACGGCAUGUUGCAUCACAAUACAUGGCGCUCGGGGACUAGCUGUGGGGGUAUAAACCCCUAUACCCUUACGGCUAGACUUCAGCCAGGAAGCUUGGCCCACUACGAGACGAGUUCAAGGCUUGAUCCGACAGCCCGAGUUUCGCGCAAGGAAACAAGACGUGGAGAUCAAGCAGGAUUCUAGUCGGUUAGAAUAGGAAUUGAUAUCGAAUUAUCUACGGCAGUUGUAACCGACUAGGAUUAGUUUCUAGCUCUGUAGCCCUGCCCUCCGGACUAUAUAAGGAGGGGCAAGGGACCCCCCUAACACAUCAUAUUCUCUCAGCACAAAUCAAUACAACCAGACGCAGGACGUAGGUAUUACGCCAACUCGGCGGCCGAACCUGGAUAAAAAGCUUGUCCGUGUCUUGCGUCACCAUUGAGUUCGUAGUUUGCGCACCGUCUACCGAUAAACUACUACCGUGGGUAUACCCCAAGGUAGACUGCCGACUAGCUUUCGUCGACAAUAACCAAGGCCUCUCCACCCCUGGGGGAGAGAAGAGAAGAAAUCAUUAUCAGAGGUAGCCAUCAAAGUUAGGGUUUAGAGCUUCUCUCCCACAAAGAAUUAGAAUUAGCUACUCCCUGAUCCUUUUAGUUUAGAGGAUUGAUUAGAUAGCAAUUAGAGAAGUAGAGCACUACGCUCUGGAUUUGGAUCUUCGGUAAUAAAGAUUGGUAUUAUUCAUAUCUUUCUCUAAUACUUUGUUCUAAUUACAUUAUGUCUCUAUUUAUUAUGCUCUUAGUUUGCUCUAGUUCUAUAUUUGAUAUAGUUAUGAUUGAUAAUGAGUUUAUGUAUAAGUUUGCAAAGCGCUUAGCUCUUGACUCGAGGGAGUUAAGUGGUAGAUCACAUGUGGGCGUGGUGCUUAGAAGUUAUUUACCUGCAAAUGUAUCCUAUUGGCCGGGUUGUGUGGUAGUUCACGAUAGUGACAGCUUCGUUGAUUCUUAUAUAGUCCACCCUCCGUUGAUAGGACAGGCAGAAUUUGUAUUGCGGAGUAAGUCUUACGAUGCUCUGAUUUACUUUACCAAUGUUCCUUAUACAUGAAUGAAGAGUCUUUUAUACUAUACAUGAUCUUGUGGAUAACUAGAGUAGAUUGUGACUUAGUAGAUAGUAGAUAACUUAGAAUCCAUUCUCUAGCUAAUCCGACGUCACCUACAUAUAUGAGGAGUAGUCUAUUUUCUAAUCGUUGUGUUAUUUACCCAUGAACUUAUAAUUCAUUAUCAUUAUCUUUAUGGUUUACCCCCUGCCAAAGUAAGUGACUGUGUGACGAGUUUCUCAUUAGUAAUCAUGUUCUUGCAAGUUUAUCUCUAGUCUAUGCCUUGAUAGAUUUAGUCCUUAUCUUAAUUUCACCCUUGUUCUCUGAAAUACUACAAUGAGGUGUUUUAUUUGUGCGCUUGCGGAUAGAAUAGAUUAUUUUCUAGAGAGCCUUUACAUUUAUAAAUACCUUUGUACACUCUGGCACCAUGCUGGAGAUGACAACCUAGUAUCUAAGUGAUGUUAGCUAGUGUCAACAAGCAUUUCUGGCACCGUUGCCGGGGAACAAAAGGGUAAUACAUAGGAACUGUAAGGAAAGUCAGGAAAUCAGUCAAGGUUAUUCACAUAAAAUAUUAGACUAGACUAUAGAGAAAUAAUUGCAUAAAACAGCUACUAAGUGAGAAAUCAUAACAAGGCACCUCUGCUUUGGCAGGUUCACCCUGUUGUUUUUCUAUGUUUAUAUUUUUAUACAGGGUAUAUCAGGAUUGACUUUGGGUACAUUCUACUCUUCAUCAUCAGAACCAAAGCACUCAAGAAAGAAAGAAGAAGCUUGCUACCAAUUGCUGAAGCUAUGGCACAGAAGACCCUACAAGAAUUCUCUGCUCCGAGUCUUGAGAACAUUCCAAUUGGUCCAAGAUUUGCAGUAGAAGAAGGAGCACCCGAGUUCGAGCUCAAGUCAAGCCUCAUCAAUUUGGUACGAGCUACACAAUUUAGUGGAAAGGCACAUGAAGAUGCUAGUGCGCACUUGCAGAAUUUCUUAGAGAUUGGAAGCACAAUCCACAUCAACGGUGUUGACAAAGACGUCAUACUGCUUCGCCUUUUUCCAUUCUCACUAGAAGGAAAAGCGAGGAAGUGGUUCUACACUCAUCAAGAUAACAUCAACAACUGGACGAACUUGUCAGAUGCCUUUCUAUCAAAGUUUUUCCCUAUAGGCAAAACAACUGCCUUAAGAGGAAAUAUUGUCAGUUUCCAACAGCAGAAGACACAACCCAUUUCAGAAGCAUGGGAGCAUUUUCAAGGAUACAUAUCAGAUUGUCCUCACCAUGGAAUGGCCACAUGGUUACUUAUGCAGAUCUUCUACCAUGGAUUAACCCAAAAGGCUCGUGAGUGCCUAGAUGCAUCUGCUAAAGGAUCAUUCUUGGAGCUUACAAUUGGAAAAGCAGAGAUACUUUUGGAUAAGAUAGCAGAAAAUCAAAGCUGGUUCCAAGAUGAAGCUCAACAAUGUCAUCAAACAGAGGAAAUACCAGAAGAAGUAAAUGUAUUAUCAACCAAGAUGGAAAAUUUGCUCCAUUGGAUUGACCAGAGGGCCAAGUUCAAAGAAGAUCAAAGGGCCAUUGAGAUAACACACAAAUAUCAAACCACUUCGAGUCAACCCAAUAGCAAAGGUAUGAAUUCAGGUAAUACUUUCAAGCAACUUUCAUUAAAAGAGAUAAUUGCUCAACAAACCAAAAUUAAUGAUGAAGUUAAACAAAGGCUAGACACAAAUGAAUCAUCUCUAAAAGAUAUAUGUAAUAAAAUGGAUUUUCUAUUAACUUCCUUUGAUGAGCAAAACACUCUUAAUAAAAGGGUAGAGCUUAAAUUAAUAAAGUUAGCUGCUGCACUGCCUGUUGCUACUAACAUUGAGCAGCUAAAGAACAUAACUACUAGAGGAGGCAAAGCCACCAGGGAUCCCCCAUACCCAAAAGAGAAACAAAGAACAUCAGCACCAGUGCAACCAGCAGUGAUAGAAGAAGAAAGCCCAAUUGAAGCAGAAGAUCUGCUACAACCACCAAGAACUAGAGAAAUGAGGAAAGAUUUUUACGACACCAACUAUUUGCCAUUUCCCAAGAGGACUGCAGUCGGAUGAGCAGUUUGGUAAGUUUGUAGAGGUCAUUCAGAAAUUAUAUGUCAACAUACCUCUGCUUGAUGCCAUACAGGUACCCACAUAUGCAAAGUACAUCAGAGAUAUUCUUAACAAGAAGAGACCACUGCCCACCACUGAGGUUAUCAAGCUGACAGAAGAAUGUAGUGCGGCCAUCCUCAAUAAACCACCAAGGAAGAAGGUAGAUCCCGGAUGUCCCACUAUUGAUUGCUCAAUCGGAAACCAACACUUCAACAAUGCACUUUGUGAUCUCGGAGCAAGUGUCAGUGUGAUGCCAGCAUCAGUCUACAAAAAGCUUGAGCAUACGACCCUAGAACCAACAUCAAUGUGCCUGCAACUAGCAGAUCAAUCAGUUCGACACCCGUUGGGCAUCGCUGAAAACAUUCCAGUCAAGAUCAGAGAUUUCCUGGUGUCAGUAGACUUCGUGGUACUGGACAUGAGUCCUGACUCAAAUGUGUCUAUUAUCCUUGGAAGGCCAUUUCUGAGCACCGCCAAUGCCCACAUUGAUGUCGGAAAAGGAGAAAUCAAGUUCAACAUAAACGGAAAAGAAGAACACUUCACAUUCAAACCCAGACCAGAGAGAGACCCUACAGUGAAGGAAGUUCAUGAAGAACCACUGGAGACACCAUCUCUAGAGGAAGGUAAUUCAGAAGAUUAAAAAGAUUUGGAGGUCCAGCUUGGGGGACCUAAAAAUCCCAAACCCUCACCGGGUGGUAAAUCGGUAUUUAUCCGCAUUAUUAAUUCUUGCAUAAUUAAUUCUUGCAUUAGUCAUAUUUAUUCAUAGCAUUAUUAUAAUAAUAAAAAGCCCCAUAUAAAUAAUAUUUAUGGUGUGUAACAACCCAUAUUUAUUAAAUUAUUGUGGAGGCACAAAAAUAUUUUCCAUUAUCAUUUCAAAUAAGUUUUAAUUCUCAUAGAUUUUCCUGCAUUAUAUUUAAUUAUAGCAACCUUCUAGAAGCAUGACCCACACUCCUUGGGUCCCACAUGUCAUACACCACACCUCACACACAUCCCAUCACAUUAUUUGAUCCACCAACAUAACUCCACUCACCAGCACUUUUCCACCGGCCAACCACCACCCAUGAUCCAUUAUUUUGCGUAAGAGUUAAGCAAAGGAAGGAGUGGAGAAAAGGCAGCCAGGAUGGGCACCUAUAGAGGGCGCCCGCCCACCUAUAGAGGGCGCCUGCCCUGUCCCCUCUUCCUCCUAUAAAUUGCCACCUUCUGCCUCCAACUUCUUCACACAAGCAUUCCAGAAAACCACGCAAGUUUCAGUUUCCAAAGAAGGAGCUCUUGUAGUGAAGUGAGAAGAGAGUAGAGAGAAAGAAAAGAGUGGGAAAGAAGUUGGUAGUUUUUGAGUAAGAGAGUGAGUUUCACCUAGUAAGUAGUGAUCCCGCUGUCCAAGCGGAAGUAAAAGUUGUUUAGGGGGAGGUGCUGCCAAAAUAAAAACUUAUAACCCCUGGACUACUGACAUUUCGGACAGCUAACCACUAACAUUUUCUCUCACAUUUUCCACUAGUUGUGUUUUUGCCAACUUUUGUUUACAGGAUGUUCAAGAAGGUGAAGAACGCAGGGAAGGCUCUCAAGAACAUAGGUACAAGGAGUUCAUCCCGACACUCCUCACACCCAUCAGAGAUGAGUGUCGACCCAACGCCUACACAAGCUCCGUCAUCUUCAUCUGGUCAGCAAGUCAAGGUCCUUCUCAAGAUAGGAGACCUUGGACUGAAGACCCAAAGGGAGAAGGAAGUUUACAAGCAGCUGAAGAAUAAAGAUUUCAUUCACACCCCUACUCUUGAUCCCAUCCUGCUACUAGAAACAGGUAUGGACACUGAAUUUGACUUAAUUUUCCAGAUGUUAGGUUGGACAAAUUUUUGGAACAUAACUGAGCUGGGUUCUCGUCUUCUCACCCUUGAAUUUCUUUGCACUUUACAAUAUUAUGAGGGGGGAAUUGUUUUUCGGAUGUUCAAACAGGAGAUUAUGUUGUCUUGGAGAGAACUGAGCGACCAUCUUGGUUUCUCUUCAAGAUGCAUCCUGAACAUUGACUCCGACUUACACAAUUUUGAGAGACACCAGUUCUGGAGAGAGGUAUCUAGAGAUAAUUUUUAUAGUCAAGCCCGAACCAGUGACAUGGAACACCCCACUCUUAGGAUGUUCCACAAAUGGCUUGGGUACAAUCUUUUCUAUCGUGAUGAUAUUAGGAAAGUAAGAGUAGGAGAUUUACAACUUUUAUAUGCUGCUAUUAAUAAAGUACCCACUUCACCUGUUACACUUUUGGUUUCUCAUUGGCUUAGUAUACCUAGUCUUCAUGGACCAGUAGGUUGUACUUCACUUAUCACUCGUCUAGCCUUUAAUCUUCACUUGCUAGAAAACUCGUCAUUGGAAUUCAUAGAUGAGUUAAGAAUUUAUCAUGGCUAUGACACAUUUAGACAAGCUCGGAUGUUGAAGAAAGAAGGGAACAUAAUGUAUAUGCUAUAUGAUGAUAAAGGCAAGAUUCGGUUACCUAACCCGAACCUUGGCCUCUAUGUUGUUCAAAAUUUUUUGAUUGAGAUUGCAGUGACACCGGUGAACCAGAGAGCUCCACAGCGAGUGGCAUCUGAAAGAAUGACCACCCAUCAAGAACGCACCUGGUAUGGAGCUGAUCCCAGGACGAAAGAAGCAGCGCACCUGCAUUAUCGCGACUACAACCCCCGAGUCCUUCGAGACCCAUGGGUUUGACAUGCGCAACCACAAGAGCCAACACAGGAGACAUGGCCGGAGAGCCAAGAUCACCAGUGGACAAACCCGCCUUUUCAUACGGGCAGGUACUCCACUGAUCCUUAUGGAGCUUCAGGAUCCAGACCUCCGCCCCAAUUCGAUGCAGGACGAUACUCCGACGCCUCUUAUGCUUUCAUGAACGACUACUACCAAGAGGCCGGUGCUUUCUUCACCCGUACCGACAACACUCUCCUCGACAUCCAGAACACGCAAGGAGAACAUGGACGACUCCUGGAAGAACAGCAAAAAUGGAACCAUGACCACGCCACUGCAGUACAAGAACUGAGACAAGAUACCACAACAAUGAACGACAACAUCACCACCAUGAUGCGGUUCUGGAACAUUGGGCAAGACCGACAACCACAUCCAGCUUGGGGGAGUUUCUCCCCAAUUUAUCAAGUAAGUUUUUAUUUGCUCUUCUUAUUUAUUCCUUUCUAUUUUAGUGUUUUAUUUAUCUUAAAGAGAAAAAUUUAGGAAACCCAAUAAAUAUUUUCUUGCUUUAAUUUACUGCAUUCUAUAAACAUGAAAACAAAAUAAAAAGAGUGUGUAGAUAAGUGUGCUUUAUUUUUCCUGCUAAGUUUAAUCUCCAGAAAAAAUAAAAAGACCAAAAAAAUGCAUGAUGGAAAUGAUGAACAGUUGCUCAGUUUGCUUACUUUCAAGUACCUAGCUUUUAUAUUAGAGUUCUUCCAGGAAUUACUAAAACUGAAAUUACUAUCCAUGGGAAGCAUAAAACUAAAGUCUAGGUAAGAGAAGGACAUAAUAUAAAGUUUGAGCUGCUGUUUAUCUUGUUCCUACUACACUAAGUUCUGGAGAUUUAUUUUGAAAACUUACAAAUCACAUGAUGAGUUCCUAGCAUAACAAAAUUCCUACCACAGCCAUACUUGCUAUAACAUCCUUUCCUACUCAUAUUCACAAUGAGUUUGAUUGAGCUGUGUAGACCCUUAGGAGCUUUUCAUGUGGUUAAAUUAAGAUAUUCACUUGCACACAUCUACUACACCAUCCACCACCAAUCAUUAAAUUUGCUAAAAAUAUUAUUACCACUCACUGUCCCAAAUGUUGUUAUUCUCUCUCUAAAAAGAUUCAAUGCAGAAGAGACAUGGGUUAUGCAAAUAUAUAUAUAUAUAUAUAUAUAUAUAUAUAUAUAUAUAUAUAUAUAUAUAUAUGCAUAUAUAUAUAUAUAUAUAUGNNNNNNNNNNNNNNNNNNNNNNNNNNNNNNNNNNNNNNNNNNNNNNNNNNNNNNNNNNNNNNNNNNNNNNNNNNNNNNNNNNNNNNNNNNNNNNNNNNNNUAUAAACACACACAUAUAUACACAUAUACAUCACUAUACAUAUAUAUAUAUAUAUAUAUUUAUAUAUAUAUAUAUCUCUAUCUAUAUAUAUAUAUAUAUAUAUAUAUAUAUAUAUAUAUAUAUAUAUAUAUAUAUAUAUAUAUAUAUAUAUAUAUAUAUAUAUAUAUAUAUAUAUAUAUAUGCGAGGAAAUAAAAAGGGGCAAGUGCGCGGAGCCUCAACAAAGAAAGAAAAAGAGUGAGAUGAGAGGUAAAAAUGGACAAGUGUCCGGAGUAGAAUUAGGGGUACAAAGAUGCCCACUUGAGCGGAAAAAAAUGGACAAGUGUCCGACAGUAGAAUUAGGGGUAUCUACUACCCACCUGAAAAAAAAGAGAAAAGAAAAAGAUAGCCCAUGUUCUCCCAAAGCAAAGACAAAAAAGGAGGAGAGAUAGCAAUAUGAGGAGCAAUGAGAACUAAGUUUUAUUAUCACUUAUACAUUUUUACCAUCACUAUCAUUUACUCCACCACACAUGCACAUCUUGAUUUAAUUAUAUGCUGAGUUCCUUUGGAUCCAUGGCUCGAUUAGACAACAUAUGUAUGAGCUAUUUUUCACUCCUAUGAGCUCCACUUAAAUAUUCCAUUAGCUAUAGGUAAGUGAAAUUUUGGUAAGGAUCCACAAAUACUACAUAUAGAGAGACUUGAGAGAAUCAUUGCUUGGAACUCUGAAUUUAUUUUUUUGAAAACUUAUGAAAAACUCUGGAACAAAGGUGAAGUAUAGACAGGAGGAAUAGUGCUUGACUUAAUUAUUUUGUCUUUCAAUUACUUAAGACUUAAGUGCAGGUACUAAGCUCCUUGACACUUCACUCUAAUCUGGAAGAAUUUUUAUGUAAAAGCAUGUGUGACUGUCAGGAAAGAAAACAUCGAAGCAACUCCUGAUCCAUCUGAGUUUAGCUGUUUGCUCAGGGAGCAAAGGGUAAGCUUGGGGGAGUUUGUUGACGGUCCUUAAGUACUAAAAUUAACCAUCAAUUAAACUUGAAAAAGGAUCAAUAUGCACCAAACAUCUAGAAUUAGGGUUUUAUCUGACAGAAUUCCACGAGCUUUGGUGUUUAUCUAUUUCUGCAGGGAGUUAUCAGAAAAUAUUGAGAGAAGGCUCACAUGUCAUGUUUACAACGAGAUAAUUACGUGCCGCGUAAUUUUCCUCAAUCUAGAAGAGUCCAGAAGCCACAGGAACGAACGGGAAGGCGAUCGGGCUCGGGGGCAGGGCGCCCGCCCUCCCCCCUUGGGCGCCCGCCCCGGUCUCGGGUCCAAUCCGAACCAAACUCUUGGAUCGUGUUCCACCGACCUAAAGGAUCAAGGAAAACCAUGUGAUCAAUGUCGGUUUGAUCCGACGGCCCAAAUUCACUUGAAAGGACUAUAUAACCAAGGCCUCUCCACCCUUGGGGGAGAGGAGAAGAGAAGAAAUCAUUAUCAGAGGUAGCCAUCAAAGUUAGGGUUUAGAGCUUCUCUCCCACAGAGAAUUAGAAUUAGCUACUCCCUAAUCCUUCAAGGUUAGAGGAUUGAUUAGAUAGCAAUUAGAGAAGUAGAGCACUACGCUCUGGAUUCGGAUCUUCGGUAAUAAAGAUUGGUAUUAUUCAUAUAUUUCUCUAAUACUUUGUUCUAAUUACAUUAUGUCUCUAUUUAUUAUGCUCUUAGUUUUCUCUAGUUCUAUAUUUGAUAUAGUUAUGAUUGAUAAUGAGUUUAUGUAUAAGUUUGCAAAGCGCUUAGCUCUUGACUCGAGGGAGUUAAGUGGUAGAUCACAUGUGGGCGUGGUGCUUAGAUGUUAUUUACCUGAAAAUGUAUCCUAUUGGCUAGGUUGUGUGGUAGUUCGCGAUAGUGACAACUUCGUUGAUUCUUAUAUAGUCCACCCUCUGUUGAUAGGAGAGGCAGAAUUUGUAUUGCGGAGUAAGUCUUACGAUGCUCUAAUUUACUUUAGCAAUGUUCCUUAUACAUGAAUGAAGAGUCUUUUAUACUAUACAUGAUCUUGUAGAUAACUAGAGUAGAUUAUGACUUAGUAGAUAGUAGAUAACUUAGAAUCCAUUCUCUAGCUAAUCCGACGUCACCUACAUAUAUGAGGAGUAGUCUAUUUUCUAAUCGCUGUGUUAUUUACCCAUGAACUUAUAAUUCAUUAUCAUUAUCUUUAUGGUUUACCCCCUACCAAAGUAAGUGACUGUGUGACGAGUUUCUCAUUAGUAAUCAUGUUCUUUCAAGUUUACACUCUGGCACCAUGCUAGGGAUGACAACCUAGUAUCUAAGUGAUGUUAGCUAGUGUCAACAGUGAUAUAUUAGCUAAGUUAGUCUUAAGUGCUUGGGUUGUUUUCUCUGCCGAUAACAUGGUGCUUGGAGUAGGUCAUAUACUUAGUCUGAGUAGUAGGAGUUAGCAUAACCGUGGUGCUUAGACUAAAGCCUGCCCUUGAAUACCACCGUAUCAAACGUGAUAUCAGGCGGUGGCCGUGUGAUAUCUCUCGCUCGCUCUCCAAGUCGAUGAAGGGGGCGUUGGCCUCGUCAAUGGUGUGGCCGUGUGGCUCCUCCUCCUCUCCUCCAUGUGCCGGCUGCUCGUUCCUUGUAGGGGUUGGUGGAUCUUCCACGCAUUGGCGGUGGCUCCUUCUAAGCCCAAAAAUUCUAUUCAUGGUGGACGAGCUAGCACAAGUGUAUGGUGUUUUCGCUUGGAGAGGGAAGUGUGCAAGAGGUUUUUGAUAGAAUUUUCUUGCACUAAGCUUGUGGAGUAGGCUAUGAAGCAAAGUGGAGCAAGAGAGUGAAGAAGGGAAGAGUAAAAAAAAUGUGUGUGAGAGGGGGUGAAGUGCUCCACUCGGGAUCCUCUCUAUUUAUAGAAUUGAUCACAGGCGGGGGAGCGCCCCCCUCAAUGGCUACUAGCCGUUGCCCAAAGGCCGAGGCCAGCAGGCCUUAGGCAGGGUGCGGCCACACCCUGGUGCGCCCGCACUAGUGGUGGGCCCGCACCAGUGGUGGGCCCGCCUCUGCCCGGCCUUUUGGCUGCUGGCUCCAACGGUCACCCCAAACGUCUCUCUAGUUACGAUCAAACAUGGUUCGAAAUCUUGCUCCAGAUUUUGAUUUUUCACAUAUUUAUUCAAAAUAUUAUAUAAAAAUAAGAUUUGGAAAUGGGAAAAUCUAUACUACCAGAAAAUAAUUUUUAUAAGAUUUUCAGAGAAACUUUAUUUUUGACUUAAAAAAUAAAACUAUAGAAAGGGAAACUUUUGGAAACUAAAAAUAAAAACUUUCUAUAAAAAGGGAAAUUAAAACGAAAUUUAGAGAAUUUAAAAAGACAUAAUACCUGAGCGGGGACACCUCCCCGAAGCAUGUUUGAUGUCGUUGGCCCCCUUCAGAUAUCUUUAUUGGGACACAAAUAGCAAAAAAUUUAUUUUUAUUAUAUAUAGUUUUUUUAGAUAACUACCGAAUGCCUUCGGCAAGGGCUCAACAUUUAUAGUCCGUUGGCAAGACUUUCCUUCCUUCAUUCUUCUGUAGUUGCAUGGACAAACUUAGUAGAGGUUUCCAGUUGCCCUAGGAUCCUCUCUGUGUUAGUGAGUGGAAUUGAUGCAACUAUCUAUGCUAUGUGUGUUUCUAUCAUCUUGUUGAAAUUCGUCUGACUUUUGACAGAUGAACAAAGAGUUUCAAGCUUGGCGUUGAUGUUCUCAAUGAUCCUGUCAUUGUAGGACAGCUUCUUGGUCAGAUUCUUAUUGAUUUUAGCUUGCCCUAUGACCAGAUCUUUCAAGGAAGGCUGAUUGAAGAAAUUACCCUGCGGGCGGUGCUGAUUGUUCCACCCGUUGUUACCUUGCUGUGGUGGCCGAAACCCAUUGUUGACAUAUGCUGCUUCUUCUUGGGUUUCGGGGCAAUUGUUCCCCGAAUGGCCAUCAUCACCACAGACUUCACACGAUGUGUGUGAGUUCACUGCUUGGAUGGUGCCCAUGUUGGGAUUUGCAACUUGUCCGUCCAUCUUUUGCAGUAGCAAGUCUAUUUUUGUAGCAAGCACAUCUGCCUCCUUCGCAGAUUGUGAGCCUUUUUUGUGUUUUCCUUCCUUCUCCCCAGCUUUGAUUUGCCACCAUCUUCUCGAUGAGGGCAGUAGCUUCAUUAAUGGUGAGAGAAAGGAAUGCACCUCUAGCUGCGGCAUCUACGUGCCCCUUUGACAUGGCCGUGAGGCCUAUGUAGAAGUUCUGGAGCACAAGCCAGUCUUCCAUUCCAUGAUGAGGAUAGGCCUAGAUGUACUCCUGGAGCCUCUCCCAUGCUUCGGGUAUGGACUCAAGUGAAGACUGCUGGAAGUUAGAGAUCUUCCCCCUCAGAGCGCUGGUCCUGCUCAUGGGGAAGAACUUGGCGAUGAAUGCCACAGAGCACUUUUCCCAUGUGUCAACAGCUUCCUUGUUCUGAUAAAACCAUUGUUUCGCCUUUCCAGAGAGGGAAAAGGGAAACAGACGGAGCCUGACGUGUUCUACGUGACGUCCUUGAUGACGACGGUGUCGCACAACUCAAGGAAGUUCUAAAGGUGGGCGUUGGCAUCCUCGCUUGGAAGGCCAUAGAAUUGGCUUGCCUGCACCAUAGAGAUGAGGCCAGUGUGGAUCUCGAAGCUUCCAUUCCCCAUAUUGACAGCGGGCCCAGUUGGCACAUUGGCAACAGCGGGAGUGGAGUAGUCACGAAGUGUCUUGGCCAUAGUGAUUGGUGCGGUUGGUGCUGGAAUGGUUGAUUCGCUUGCCGGUUGCGUAGCAAAAGAAGAGACGGUACGAACCCUUCCCUUCCUUAGGAGUGUUUCUGGAUCAUUGUGUAAGUUUGCCGGCAAGUUGAAACCGCUCAUACACUAUCCUGUUUUCAUUCCAAUAAAAAGAGGAAGAAAACAGUAAAGUUAUCCUGCUUAAUCUAUGGCUACCAAUGCUUAUUAUGAAAUCAAUGUUUAUGCUAGUAUGAUUUUUGCCUUCCCCGGCAAUGGCGCCAGAAAUGCUUGUUGGCAUUUCUUAGCGUUGCUACUAAAAAUAGACCAUAGAUCCAUCCUUAGCAGCUGUCACAGAACCGACCAAAUUAUAAGAGUUCAAGUGUAGAAACGAUCAACUAGCAAUCAAGUUUCCAGACUUGAGCCCAUAUAAUCCUGGUAGUCAACUGAAAUCACGAAGGACUUCAAACCAACUUGCAACAAACCAAGAUCGUAAUAGUUCAACAUAAUACAGCGAAUGUUACAUAGUCAACCAUUGCCAACGAAGCGGCACCACAUCGGAGUUACUUAGUUAUUACAACACAAGUUUUGGAGUAGCGGAAGCAAAAUAGUUUACACACACACAUUUCAUAAUUUCUUGUUACUGCCAGAGUCUCAUCUCAUCCACCAAAAGCAUCAAGGUACAAAGUCGUUAGAGGACCGUGGCCAACGGUUUAGUCCUCAUCCCUAGCGGGAUGGAGACAGGUCUUGCAGAAGCCAUCAUAAAAGACAUCAUCUACAACAGGUGGGAAUAAACCCUGAGUACGAGGAUGUACUCAGCUAGACUUACCCGUCUAGUGAAACAUAAAGACAAAAAGGAUCAUGCAAGGCCGAGUAUAAAGUGUAGCUGGCUUGACUCAACAUUUGCCAAAAGCUUACGUGGAUACUACAUCAUUUGUAAAGGCAUCAUAUUAAUCAUCAUUAGCCUACCACUAGAUUAGUACCUGGACUAAACACUUCACUUGAUUAUUACAAGCAAUAAUAACCAUACCAAGUUCAUCAUAUGUUCUUCCUUGCUAUCAUCAACAUCAUUAUCAAGAACCAUUGUACUUAGUGAAUGCUAUGGUUGCCGCUGCUCUGUCAAGUUCUCACUAUCCGGGAGAGACGGCGAUUCGAAUCAAUUCCUAUCCAGCUGGAGGGUUAUUCCUAGCACUCACCCAAGCAUCCCCCGUCGGAGAGCAAGCGGGCCACCUUUGGUAGGACUCAGGAAUCGCGGCUCCGAUCAGCGCCGCACUCCCAGGGCUACCACUUUGCCAGGGAGGUCAGGACUUUUAACUCACCUGCCUUUGGUCUUAAGCCAAUGGUCCCCCACACACCGCACUUCCUCCGGUAGUGCGCACUUUAUACUUGCCGGUCUUCCAGCCUAAGUCAUACUACUAGGCUUCGCGGUCGGAACGAGUUAUCUAGCCAACUAAGUGUCAGGCAUGCGUUCAACAUGACAAGAGGACGUACAACGAUCGGUCCUUAACUGCCACAGACGGAGUUACUACAGCCUUGCAAAACUCCGCCCGGCUUAAGUCAUUUUAAUCAGGUUAUUUCCCACGAUAGCACAUAUAGUCAAUCGUGAUCCGACACAACCCUAUUUCGCGCAGGUGACAGGAUAUCACCCGACUUCUAUCGAUUAAAGCAUGGCUAAGCUGCUACUCGAUCCUAACUCUACAACCAGGUAGUGGUAAGAUAUCUGGACAAGAAAAGGGUAUAAUGCAGCAAGGGUUUCAUCACAACUCCUAUACGUAAUGCAUCAAUAUAUAUAACUUAAUCAAGUAUGAUUUCAAAAAUUAAAGUGGGAGACUUAAGAUGCUCCAGGGCUUGCCUUUCACAAAUGAGGCUGGCUUGUGAUUAGGGCACUCGACCUCCUCUUCGGGCUCCUCUUGUCCGGCUGGCUGGACCUCCGCUUCCUGAGUGAUCUCCGGGCCAUCGUGGAUCGCUUGAUUGAGCUUGAACGAGACUGCCGCUUCCGGUGCACCUAUUGCAUCCACGAUGAGUAAGAAUGUGUGCAUACUAGAUGAGGAUGAAUGCUUGGUAGCAUGAUUAGAACUUCACUGGACACUCAUUUAUGGAAUAACUCCCAUAACAAGCUCACAAAAGAUGACUAACUAACUUAGCAAGAUUCAUCAAGUUAAAUCAUAAACAGGAACAACCAAAUAACAGGGCAGCUAAAAGAAGCAAUCAUAACUAAAUCUAUACAGAUCCAACAAACAUGAAUGAGGACAUUCUGGAAAGCUUAUGAAAUUGUUUACAUUUCAUCUUUAGAUAUCAUAGCAAGAUUAACAAGUUAAACAGGUCAAUUAAACAAAGUCCCAGGUUCUGUCCCAGAAAAACUGAGAGCACCUAGUUCUGGAACUCAACUUGGAAGAGCCAUAACUUUUAAACUAUUGGUCCAAAUGAUCCCAAAUUUGAACUGUAGAUAGCUCACAAAGUUUACAACAUCUUUGGUUUAGACAAGUUAGUCAGAAAACAAAGUUAUCAUCAAGCAAAGGUCAGAUUACUCCCUUGCUGUCCAGAACAGCUAUAAACCUUUAAUUAAUUAUUUGAUGACAUAGCAGAAACAUAUUUAGUGUCAACCAAGUGGCUUAGAUGCACAAGCAUAACCUAAGAUUACCAGAACAUCACAUGUUGACCCCUAAACAUGCAAUAACAAUGCAUUUAUUAAUUUAAUUCCAUAAAAGGACAUAAUUACAAGAUACCAGCAAGAGUGCUCAGAAAAAUCUACAAAAAUUACUGAAGCACAAGCAUGGCAUCUGGACAUUACCAUAAAAUUUUCAGAGCAAUUGCACAUGCCAAACUUAAGAUAAGUAGUUAACAAGUAACAAGGUGCUUAUUUCAUAAAUUAAGAAACAUAGCUUAGAUAGUGUCAAACAACAAAUUUCAGAUUAUUUACAUGUUACUACUACUAUAAACAAGCUUGACACCAAAAGAGAACACCAGUGUUGACACCGUUUUUGACACGUGCCCAGGAUCGGUAGAGUAUAGAUCAGCAAGAUAAGGCAAUAGAAACUGGUUUGCAGGGGAGUUGCCGAUGAGGGUGGUUGCCGAUGAAGGGACGGCUGAAUAUGACUAAGUCCAUGUGUGGUGACGCGUUCAUGAAAAAAGGUCAGCGUUAACCUUUGUCGAUGGCUACGAUGAAGAGUCUGCCGAUGAUUUGGAAGGAGAACCUAAAGGUUGCCGAUUGGUCCAUGGUGGUGUCCCAGUUUGUUACGGCAGGAUAGUUUGUGUUUUCCUUAGUUAUUUAAAUCGUUUUGUAUACGGAUUCUGUUUAAUUUGGAAUUCGAGUCCUAGUCGUGUCUGAUUGUAGCUCUUUGAGUAGGGUAUAAAUGUAGACCAUGGAGCCUUGUAAUAAAAUCGAUCAAUCAAUCAAACACAAGUUUUUACUCAUAUUCUAGCAUCUACUUUUUCCAACGACUUCGUCAUAUUUUCCUUUUUCAUUACGAGUUCUUAGGAGUUCGUCGAAUUAAGCUCGGCGUAUUCUCGAGUUCCGUGUGAAUACCUCUUGGCCGUGACAUCCGGGCGCAUCGCUGUUGUCGGGACCAAAGUAUUCGAGUUAUCACCUUUGCCGAUAGUAAGGUCAAAUCGGCUGACACGCCUUAACGUUUAAAUCGGGUAUUAGCCCUUUGUGUUUGCAGAUCAUCUUUUGCAUCAACAACCAGCAUAAGCAUCAAACAUUUAUUAUGAUUUAAAUAUGAGAACAAGCCAUAGUACCAACAUAAAUUACAUAUCAGAGACACAACACUCCAAAAAUCAUGAAAUAUUUAUCAGAGCAUUCUAAUACUACUCAGAGCAUAGCACAACAAAAGGAGCAGUAUAUCAAAAGAUAUGAAUUUACACCUAAUUAACAAGAUUAAAUCAUAACAAUUAUUUUUCACAGAAAACAUGGUGCCUAUUAUAUUUUUAUUAAAAACUAGACUAUCUGAGGAACUCAACAAAAUUUGGAUCACCUCAAGAGGAUUUUUCAAACUCCAGAUAUGAAUUUUCCAAAAACAGCACAAACCCAAAAUUCAAACUAAGGAGAGAGAGAGACUGACAGGGGGACCCCACAGGUCAACGGACCCCACUCGAUAGUGACCCGAGAACAGAGGCGAGGCUUGACCGCCGGAAAUCUCGUCGACGGCGAGGUCUCGGCGACGGCCAAGGGCACCAACGUGUUUCCCACUCUCUUCCGCGACGACUGGUACUAGAAACCCUAACUCUACCGCACCCUAAGGACCUUGCCCUCGCGAAUGGCGGCAUGGCGGUGGUGUGUGGCCGACCGCCGGCGUCUCUGGUUGGAGACCGGGCGAAAGAAGAUCCCGACGAGCAUCAGCACGACAAGGCAAAGCUUUUGGAACAAGAACGAGAAGGAAUGGUGGACUACAGAGCCCUGGCCACGACACCGGUGACCACGGCGGAGCUCCGGCGAGGUGAGCUCACGACGGAGGGGGCAAUGCGGGGAUAUUUGGGAACGCAAUAAUGAAUUGAUCCACAAGCGCACGGAUAUCGGUGAGCACUUCACCCGGGAGGUUAUCCAGAGUAUCGUAUUUAUUUUUUUACCACUAGGAGAAAGAGUGCAUCUGACUAACCUGGUCUAUUCCUACUAACCUUUAGGCUACAAAGAAUGUUUCUCGAUAUGAGUGAUAAAUAGAGAAGACUACAAUCGUAAUCUCCUUCUAACCUUGGUAAGGAUGAUCUACUGUUCUAUUGGGGAGGCUAACGGAAUCUAGACACCACAGAGGAUGUUCAACCCGCACCUAUAAACUCUAUCCUUCCUGCUAACGAGAUAUGGUCUGCAAAGGUAACUCAGAAAUGUCACGUUCCUCGCUACUACCACGGUCUAGCUAGUCAGAGAAUAUCUAUGAGUAUCCUAGCCCAAACACCAUGUCUACGCUAGAGAUGAUUACUCUAAACUCUACGCGAAGAGAUUAAAGUAAACUCAUAAACCAAAGAACAAUAAAACAAGAACUUACUAGAAUUUUGAAGUCGAAAUACUGAAGAAUCCAAGGAGCAAGCUUCGGGUUAGGAGAACUUGAUCCCACAGAUACAACCUCAGAGUAGACACCAACAGGCCGGGCUUCCUCCGAUCUACACCUCCACUCUCUCUCUCUCAAUCUAGUAGAAACUAGAAGAUCUAUUUCUACUCACAUUGGAUGCUAAGCCUAAAAGAAAUUUUAUUUAGAGGAGAGGUAUUCCUUCGAGGGCUCCUCUCAACUCUAUGAUGAACUUGUCUCCUCCAGGGGCCAGGGGGUCUGGUUUUAUAGUCCCCUCAGGUGAACGUGAGCCGUUGGAUCAAACCGACAUUGAUUGGAUGGUUAUCCUUGAUCCUUUAGGUCAGUGGAGCAUCGUCCGCGAAAAGAGUCCUGAUUGGAAUCCAAGAGGGGGCGGGCGCCCUGGGCCAGGCCCCUUUCGGCCUCCGCUUUGUUCUCGUGGCUUCUGGAGUCUUCUAGAUGGUAGAAAAUUGCGCGGUGCGUUGAUAUCUCUAUGUAAUCCCGACAUGUGGGCCUUUCUUCCUUAUUUCCUGAUAACCCCCUGCAGAAAUAGAUAAACAACAAAACUCAUGGAAUUCUGUCAGAUCAAACCCUAAUUCUAGGUGUUGUUUGCAUAUUGGUUCUUUCUUUUGUUUAUUUGAUAAUUAAAAUUGAUACUUAAGAACCGUCAACAAAUACCCCCAUACUUAGGCUUUUACUCGUCCUCGAGAAAAGGAUGGUUAAGAACAAUAUCUGGGGUAAAACAUUUUAAAACAUUCUCUUCAUACCUGCAGGGUAUUAAAAUCCACUGUGUACUAUAGUCAGGGAAGUAUAUGGUUAAGAGUAGAGAUCCUUUCUUCACAAUCUGUCCCUUGGAGUUUUUGUAGAUUUUUGAAAAGAAAUUCAGCAUACCUUUAUCCUCAUAGGUUCUCAGAUCACUCAUUAUCUUUUUAUAUAUCUCACUGAGGCUGUUUUAAUUUGAAAAAAUUCUCAAGCAUACUUACUUUGUAUUUAUUGCGUGAUCAAAAUGGGAUCCGAGGAGAGGAAAGCCAUACUCUUAGAUCAAAGGUUUUGGAAAUUAAAAUCUUUGUCAACUCUUGCUGGCAUAUUGCUUAUUAGAGGGACCAUGGGCUAUCAUUUUCUUUCUUUUUCUCUCUUUUUUUUGAAGUGGAUACCGAGGUACCCCUAAUUCUACUGCUGGACACUUGUCCAUUUUUUCUGCGAGGUUAUCGAGCACUUGCUCCUUUUUAUUUCCUCGUAAUAUCCUUAUUUUUGCAUAGCCCAUGCCUCUAAUGCAAUAAUACUUCGGAAGAGUGAAUCUUUCUGAAUAAAUGUCUUGAUCUUAGGAGCAUGAUAAAUCUCUCAACAAGGGUCUAACUCAUUUUGAACAAACUCAAUACAGAGUAGAUAGCUUUUAUAAUUAUCAUUAAUAUUUUCAGGUUUAUCAGGCAUAUAAAACACUGAGGAUGGUAGCUAGAAUUUUUGAAUAAAUUCUCCAAGCAAUAAUGAUAUCAAGAAUAAGAAACUCAUACUCUACCAUCUCACAUUCCACAAUGACUUAAGUAACACAGGGUUUUAAAAUGAUUUUUCAAUAAUUGCAAGUUUCAAGAAAUAUCAGAGAGUGAGAUUAAUCAUGAUUAGAAACAUUUUAAUCUUUUUAAUUUAUCAUGUCGAAAACAGUAUUCUGCAUAAUCCAAGAUAUAUAUGUGUAUGUGUAAAGUGUGCAGAGUGUGUACCUGAAUCGUGGAGUGGUGUAGUCGGAGUGUGUUUGGCAUGUCGAGGGAUCUCCCCCAUACUUGUGUUUCUGCUUUCUUGCACAAAAAUAAAGUAGAGACACACAAGACAUAAUAAUAAUAAUACUCUUUAUUAAUCUUGAGGCAUUUAUUACAAAUAACUAGUAACAAACUGACGAUAAUAGUAGCAAACUGACGAUAAUAGUAGCAAACUGACGAUAAUAGUAAACCUAAACCGAAUUUAAAGAUAGAUAACUAAGAUGCAUUGCCUCAAGAUCUAAUCUAGAUAACUUAGCGGCGCUCUAAUUCCUUGAUCUUCUUAUUGGCACUAGCAAGAUCAUGCCUAAGGCCUAAUAUAACGGUGUUGUGGUUUGAGAGCUGCCUAGUGAUGGAGUUAACUGAGGACUGGAGGUCUAUGAUGACUCUGUCUAGCCUGCGAACGUUCUCAUCAAUGUCUACUAUAGUCUUGCGACGCUUAGGAGGUGUCUCAAAAGCAUUGAGAGCGUGCUUCGGGGCUGCCUUUGGAGGGAUGAAACAGACUUUGGCUACUCUAAUCCCUUCAAAGUAAGGCCUCUCCUCCUCCGUAGUGUAGGGGAUGCUGCUGAUCUCGCCGCUCCGGUUGGUCUUGACUCCAACGACCCUCUCAUUGGGUCUGGGUGGAAGGAUCCUCGUGCCGGUUGGCACCUUGAUGGUGGUCUUCGUCUUGGAUGAUGAUCCCUUGAGAAGUAGGGGUUGUGGCGGUGCGGUGAGAACUGGUUGAGCAUGGUAGGAUUGGGUGGAGCUGCGCUGGCGUAAUGGCAUGGCUUCUAGCUGUCGCUCUGUGCUGGCCGGGACGAGAGCACGGGCGUCGGGGUCUUCUUCAGGCUCCAUGUUGAGGUUGAAGGGGACGACUUCCCAAUCAUCGUGGAACUUCUCGGCCAUUGGAGCAGCGAGGGACUAAACAAGCUCUAAUUGAAGAAGAAGAGAAGGCUUGGGUGUGUUGAUAUUUGGUAACGCAAUUAGAAAAUGAUCCGCAAGCGCACGGAUAUCGGUGAGCAUUUGACCCAGGAGGUUAUCCAGAGUUAUCGUAUUUAUAUUUUUACCACUAGGAGAAAGGGUGCAUCUGACUAACCAAAUCUAUUGCUACUAUCCCUUUAGGCUACAAAGAAUGUCUCUCGAUGUGAGUGAUGUAUAGAGAAGACUGCAACCGUAGUCUCGUUCUAACCUUAGUAAGGAUGAUCUACUGUUCUAUUGGGGAGGCUCACGGAAUCUAGACAACACAAAGGAUGUUCGACCCGCACCUAUAACCCUACCCGUCCUGCUAACGAGAUGUGAUCUACAAAGGUAAUUCGGAAAUGUCACGUUCCUCGCUACUACCACGGUCCAGCUAGUCAGGGGAUAUCUAUGAGUACCCUAGCCUAAACACCACGUUUACGCUAACAAGUGAUUACUCUAAUACUCAACCGGAAGAGGAUUAAAGUAAACUCAUAAACCAAAGAACAAUAAAACAAGAACUUACUAGUACUAGAAGUCGAAUUACUGAAGAAUCUUAGAAGCAAGCCUCGGGUUAGGAGACUUGAUCCCGUAGGUACAACUCGGAGUAGCCACCGACAGGCCGGCCUUCCUCCGAUCCACACCUCCACUCUAUCUCUCUCAAUCUAGUAGAAACUAGAAGAUCUAUUUCUACCUUACAUUGGUUGCUAAGCCUAAAAAGAAAUAUUAUUUAGAGAAGAGGUUUUCCUUCGAGGGCACCCCUCAAUCUCUAUGAUAAUUUCUUGUCUCCUCCAGGGCCAGAGGGGGUCUCCUUAUAUAGUCCUCCCCUUCUAUGCGUUUUUGGGUCGAUAGGCGAGGUGGUACUAUGUUAUUCUGGAUCCAAUAGGUCGGUGGAACGUCGUGUGCGAAGAGAGUCCAGAACGGAGUCCAGAGGGGGGCGGGCGACCAGGUCCUCAGGGCGGGCGCCCUGGGCCUGGCCCCUUUCGGGCUCCGCUUCCUUCCCGUGGCUUCUGGAGUCUUCUAGAUGGUAGCAAAUUGCGCGGUGGGUUGAUAUCUCUAUGUAAUCCCGACAUGUGGGCCUUUCUUCCUUAUUUCCUGAUAACCCCCUGCAGAAAUAGACAAACACCAAAACUCGUGGAAUUCUGUCAGAUAAAACCCUAAGUCUAGAUGUUGAUUUCAUUUGGAUCCUUUUCUUUGUUUAUUUGAUAAUUAAAUUUGAUACUUAAGGACCGUCAACAAACUCCCCCAAGCUUACCUCUUGCUUGUCCCUGAGCAAGGAUAGACUCAGCUAUGGAUCAUAAGUUGUUGCAAUAUCUUUAAAAAUUUGACGGUACACAUGCUUUUAAAUAAGAUCUCAUCUCUGAGUUAGAGUAAACUGUCAAGACUUAAAACUUACUUACUUUACCUUUCACCAUGGGACUUGUAACCGUCACUUCUGUCUUGAGUGGUUAAAAGAUAGAACAGUCCAGUCAAGUGCCAUGUCGCUUAUUCUUGAUUAGCUAUAGCUCUGGAGUUUUUGCAGAUUUCCAAAUAAAACUCAGAGAUUCCUUUGUAUGACUCUCUCAUAUCUCUCUUUUGUGGUAUUUCUGGAUCCUUACCAAGGCAGUGAUGGUAUAUGCCUUCUCUCAAGAUAUGUAGUAUUUGUGGUAUGAAGCAUAGUGACAUUGUCCUCUCUCUCACCCUACUCUAAUAAGGCUUUAAUAUCUGGAGCUUAUUGGUGGGAGAUAAAGUAUACAUACUUACAAGACAUUUAUUGCAUAGUCAAACCAUGGAUCCAAAGAAACAAAUCAAUAAGCCAAAUCAAGAUGUGCAUGUGUGGCGAAUGAAUGGUGUAUGGUGAUGAUGGUGAUAACAAUGGUGGUGGAAGUCUAAUUCUACAUUGCUCUUUGAGGGGAUACAUACCUUCCUUGCUUUUGAAACUUUAUGAGGAGAAUGAGAUGCUCUUCUUCUCUGUUUUUUUUCUUUUCUUUCGAGGUUCCGAGCACUUGCUCCUUUUUAUUUCCUCGUAUCUUUUAUUUUCUUUUUCUCUCUUCUCUUUUUUUUUCAGAGCAUUCAUCUCUUGAGAUAAUAUAGCAAGUGGUAGUAACAAGAUAACUUGAGCAUUUAUUUCACAAGGGGAAACAGAAAUAUUUUUGGUUAUUCUCUCCCGGAUUAGGAGUAGAAUACUUUUGGGUGGUUUUGGAGAUGGAAAUGAGUGGAUAUAUGUGGAUGGUAGUUCCGGAGUAGAAGUAGCAUGUAUGAGUGAACGUGCAAGUGAAUCUUGAUUUAACCACAUGACAAGCUCCUAAGGGUCUACACAGCUUGACCACACUCAAUGCUCAUAAGCAGUAAAUAGUAAAUGUGUGGCUCAAGGUCUAGCAAGCAUGUAUAUAUGGCUGUGGUAGGAAUUUAAACUCUCAUCAUACAGGAACUCAUCAUGUGUUAUUUUAAAGAUUUUUCAAAGAUAAAAAUUCUCCAGAAUUCUAGCAUCUCUAGGAACAGAUGAACAGCAGCUCAACCUUCCCAUAUCGUAUCCGUUAACAACUUAGACUUCAGAUCAAGUUUUCAUCCCACAAGUUUAGGUCUAGAGCAAGCCUUAAAUUAUAACAGUUAUAUCUAAACUUGAGAGAGAACUUCAAAUUUGCAAAUUAGGCAGAGCAACUAUUCAUCAUAUCCAUGCUUAAGUUUUAUUAGAUACCGAUUAGCAUAACCACUUUAUUUAGUUAUUAAACACACUAAGCAAAAUAUAUAUAAGCAUAAAAUCUUUAUUUGGUUUUUCAUAGUUAUGUGUAUUUAUAUUCUAAUAUAGUAUAAGUAUAAAGAUAGAUAGAAAUACUUAUCGAGAUAAAUGGGGGUGCUCUCCCCCAAGCUGAAUUUUGACGUAAUUUUUCUUGAUGUAGCUAGUAGGUGGCAGAGGUGUAUUUGAAAGUCAGUAGCAUUCUGACAGCGAUUAGAAUGUCCUCCGUCUCCCAGUCUUCUUGAUUAUUAAAUUCUGUGGAGCUCAAAUAGACAACAAAGCUUGUGGAACUGAUUAAGUGUUAGCAUAAAUAUCUAGCCUUUAUCAUGUUGAGACUCCUUAAUAAAUUUUACUCCCUGUUUUUUAUAUUUUUAUUUUAUAAAGCAGAAAAAUAUUUAUUUUAUUUUUAUGCCACCACAGUGAAUGUACUUAUGGGUUUUAUGCCACUCGUCUACUCACAUGGGGCUUACUGUUUUUCACAUUUUUAUUUUCUUUUUAAGAUAGUAUGAACAUGAUUAACUAAGUAAACUAUUUGAAAUAAUUGAAAGAGAAAAAAUAACUACCAAGUUUACCUCUUGGCAAGGCGUUCGGUGUUUUUGAGUCCUCCGAACGGGACUCUCCAAUUUCUUAAUUGUCCUGAGGUUUGUUGGGUGGCGUAGUCAGUACUUCCGGCAGUGCCUCCUCUUCUUGUAUAGUUAUCUUCAUUUUCCACACCUGACUUGGUGCUUCAAUCUCCUCUGGAUAAUUCUAUUUAAACUCUACGUCUUCUGAUCUUACAACUUCUCCUUUAUAGUCUGCCCAUCCGUCCUUGAUGAUCUGCCUCCUCUUCUCUGAGGGGAAGUGCAUAUGGACUUCUAAGGUUCCAAUGUAGAUAAUUGCUUUAACGGUGCUGAGGAACGGUCUUCCAAGGAUGAUGGGUGGAUCAUACUCGUCUUCUCCCAUGUCAAUGACCUGAAAAUCAUCUAUAGCUGAAUGUAUAUUUGUUGUAGGGGCAUGGUUUCAUGCAGGAGCUGAUAAGUGACUACGGCCAUUAUGUUGACGUCAGAUCCGGUGUCGUAGAGUGUCUUCUGAAAAGAGUAUCUGUUGAUUGUGCACUCAAUGCUUAGAACACCAGGGUCGUCCUUCUUGAUCAAGAAAGGUGACUUGAGUGGACGAUCUUGACCUCCUUGAAUUGCAGUGACCAUCUUAGCUGACUCGGUCCACAUUUGCUUGUUCCUGUUCCUCCUGUUCGUCCUCUUCCUUGGUUCAUGUCGGGGUUGCUCUGAAGUUUGUGUAGUCUUGUUCUUGAAGGAAAGUCUCCUUCUUCCCCUUGAUGUAGAGACUGAUCUUGGCAGCAUUAGCGUAGAUGACAGCUCUAGUGUUUAGGAAUGGCCUCCCUAAGAUGAUGGGUGCCCUCUCCUCAGUACCAGUUUCUAUCACCAUGAAGCCUGCUAGAGCAUACAAGGUACCAACUC